CCUACGGGAGGCAGCAGUGGGGAAUCUUGCGCAAUGGGCGAAAGCCUGACGCAGUAACGCCGCGUGCGGGAAGAAGGCUUUCGGGCUGUAAACCGCUUUCAGCAGGAACGAAAAUGACGGUACCUGCAGAAGAAGGAGCGGCCAACUAUGUGCCAGCAGCCGCGGUGAUACAUAGGCUUCAAGCGUUGUCCGGAUUUAUUGGGCGUAAAGAGUUCGUAGGCGGUCGAGUAAGUCGGGUGUGAAAAUUCUGGGCUCAACCCAGAGACGCCACCCGAUACUGCUUAACUUGAGUUCGAUAGGGGAGUGGGGAAUUCCUAGUGUAGCGGUGAAAUGCGCAGAUAUUAGGAGGAACACCGGUGGCGAAGGCGCCACUCUGGAUCGAUACUGACGCUGAGGAACGAAAGCAUGGGUAGCAAACAGGAUUAGAUACCCUGGUAGUCCAUGCCGUAAACGGUGGGCACUAGGUGUGGGAUUCUAUUAACGAAUUCCGCGCCGUCGCUAACGCAUUAAGUGCCCCGCCUGGGGAUACGGUCGCAAAGCUAAAACUUAAAGGAAUUGACGGCUGAGAGNGCGAGACGACACGAGGAGAGG
Molecule: ribosomal RNA, 591 nt
Filed under: uncultured bacterium
Lineage: Bacteria
Description: bacterial SSU rRNA
Rfam family: Bacterial small subunit ribosomal RNA
Source: RNAcentral